RNAcentral lists this ribosomal RNA (693 nucleotides) under uncultured Pseudomonadota bacterium. RNAcentral's name for it is "bacterial SSU rRNA". It matches the Rfam family "Bacterial small subunit ribosomal RNA", at positions 52 to 734 of the family's 1533-position model. The record is from RNAcentral. Lineage: Bacteria; Pseudomonadati; Pseudomonadota.
CACAUGCAAGUCGAACGGCGGCACAGGAGAGCUUGCUCUCUGGGUGGCGAGUGGCGGACGGGUGAGGAAUACAUCGGAAUCUACUCUGUCGUGGGGGAUAACGUAGGGAAACUUACGCUAAUACCGCAUACGACCUACGGGUGAAAGCAGGGGAUCUUCGGACCUUGCGCGAUUGAAUGAGCCGAUGUCGGAUUAGCUAGUUGGCGGGGUAAAGGCCCACCAAGGCGACGAUCCGUAGCUGGUCUGAGAGGAUGAUCAGCCACACUGGAACUGAGACACGGUCCAGACUCCUACGGGAGGCAGCAGUGGGGAAUAUUGGACAAUGGGCGCAAGCCUGAUCCAGCCACACCGCGUGGGUGAAGAAGGCCUUCGGGUUGUAAAGCCCUUUUGUUGGGAAAGAAAUCCAGCUGGCUAAUACCCGGUUGGGAUGACGGUACCCAAAGAAUAAGCACCGGCUAACUUCGUGCCAGCAGCCGCGGUAAUACGAAGGGUGCAAGCGUUACUCGGAAUUACUGGGCGUAAAGCGUGCGUAGGUGGUCGUUUAAGUCCGUUGUGAAAGCCCUGGGCUCAACCUGGGAACUGCAGUGGAUACUGGGCGACUAGAGUGUGGUAGAGGGUAGCGGAAUUCCUGGUGUAGCAGUGAAAUGCGUAGAGAUCAGGAGGAACAUCCAUGGCGAAGGCAGCUACCUGGAC